RNAcentral lists this long non-coding RNA (761 nucleotides) under Dromaius novaehollandiae (emu). Its description in RNAcentral is "lncRNA (ENSDNVG00000001373.1)". Lineage: Eukaryota; Metazoa; Chordata; Aves; Casuariiformes; Dromaiidae. The record is from RNAcentral.
CAGCCCGAGGAGACCCCCRCUCUGCAGCCUCGCAGUCAGAGCACGCCCGUUGCACCGGGAGGCUGGGCUCUGCUCCAGGCCCCCAGGCCAGACUGGUAUUUAAUCCAGGACUGCUGAAACACAGUCUCCGGAGGAGGGAUGGGUGCACAGACCACGAGGAUGCAGCCCCCGUGGGCGGUUSAGCAGGGCACCAAAGCAUCCAUGCGAAACAUGGGAGCACUGGGAUGGCCAAGGAGCGGGAACACGUUACCAUUAGCCAUGGUUUUCCCAUGCUUUCAACACAGGCUUGUGCACCCGGUGCAAGGGGAGAAACAAGCCCGGUGCUGCUUCCCGAACUCCCCCAGAUGGUCACCGAGCCCCUCAGGUGGCCGUGGGCACGGGUUUGCGGUGGGGCCCAGAGGGCAGCUGUGAACCACAACUCUUUUCCAUCCCUAGAUCCGACGACGCCGACCGACUCCGGCCAACCUGGUUCUAAGCAGCGACCAGUCGUCCCCAGAGCUGCAGAUGAUGGUGGAGCAUCACCUGUGCAAGCAGGCGCAGGGCGAGGAGGAGGAGGAGGAGGCGGCCGCCGCGGGGAGCCAGGACCAGCGCAGCCCCGGCUGCUGCCGCCACGGUGACACAGAGCACAGCCACAGCCCCGGCGGCACCUGCUCCCUGGCCCACGCUCAGCCCGCGCGCGAGGGCGGCCCUGCACCCGGCGCCAGUGAGUACGGCCCCGAUCCCAGCGGGAAAGGAGCCCUCGGCCGCUCUGCCCCUGCAUC